RNAcentral lists this ribosomal RNA (430 nucleotides) under uncultured Acidobacteriota bacterium. RNAcentral describes it as "bacterial SSU rRNA". It matches the Rfam family "Bacterial small subunit ribosomal RNA", at positions 355 to 776 of the family's 1533-position model. Lineage: Bacteria; Pseudomonadati; Acidobacteriota. The record is from RNAcentral.
UGGGGAAUUUUUCGCAAUGGGCGAAAGCCUGACGAAGCAACGCCGCGUGGAGGAUGAAGGCCUUCGGGUCGUAAACUCCUGUCGACCGGGACGAAAGCGGUCUGGCCGAACAAGCCGGACUGUUGACUGUACCGGUGGAGGAAGCCACGGCUAACUCUGUGCCAGCAGCCGCGGUAAUACAGAGGUGGCAAGCGUUGUUCGGAAUUACUGGGCGUAAAGGGCGCGUAGGCGGCCCGAUAAGUCCCGCGUGAAAGCCCCUGGCUCAACUGGGGAACUGCGCGGGAAACUGACGGGCUUGAGUUCGGGAGAGGGAAGCGGAAUUCCGGGUGUAGCGGUGAAAUGCGUAGAUAUCCGGAGGAACACCAGUGGCGAAGGCGGCUUCCUGGACCGACACUGACGCUGAGGCGCGAAAGCUAGGGGAGCAAACGGG